GAGUUUGAUCCUGGCUCAGGAUGAACGCUGGCGGCGUGCCUAACACAUGCAAGUCGAACGGAGUUUAUGAGGAAGAAGCUUUCGGCGGAAUUCUUAUAAACUUAGUGGCGGACGGGUGAGUAACACGUGGAGAACCUGCCUCUUACCGGGGACAGCAGUUGGAAACGACUGAUAAUACCGCAUAAGCGCACGAGACCGCAUGGUCCUGUGUGAAAAGAUUUAUCGGUAAGAGUAUGGCUCCGCGUCUGAUUAGCCAGUUGGCGGGGUAACGGCCACCAAAGCGACGAUCAGUAGCCGGCCUGAGAGGGUGAACGGCCACAUUGGGACUGAGACACGGCCCAGACUCCUACGGGAGGCAGCAGUGGGGAUAUUGCACAAUGGAGGAAACUCUGAUGCAGCGACGCCGCGUGAGU
This 413-nucleotide ribosomal RNA is filed under the name uncultured microorganism. RNAcentral describes it as "bacterial SSU rRNA". It matches the Rfam family "Bacterial small subunit ribosomal RNA", at positions 9 to 406 of the family's 1533-position model. The record is from RNAcentral.